Molecule: long non-coding RNA, 2206 nt
Organism: Talpa occidentalis (Iberian mole)
Lineage: Eukaryota; Metazoa; Chordata; Mammalia; Eulipotyphla; Talpidae
Exons: 3
Source: RefSeq, a predicted model, not a curated record
UGCUCAGGCACUGCCUCUGACCACGCAGAGACGUGUCCAGGUCUCCCUCAGGUCAGUGAGUGACCACCUUCUUGGCUUCUCCCGGGUGAUCUUGGCGACUCAGCUCCUCCUCUGGACUGAUGAGCAGCGUCUCAAGGCCACAGGUGAUGGAGAGGACACAGGUGGAGAGUGACCCGCAUGAGGUCCCGAGGGAGGAGACCCCUGCGUCUCCAGUCCUGACCACGGUCCCUGACAGAGGACAGACAGUGACAGCGACUGCUCCUCGCUUCCCAUCCUCACCUUUGAAACUGACACUGGACAAUGUGAAGAGACAGGACCCCACUGUGCAGAAUUGUCAAUAAAAGGUCUUCAUAGAUCUCUGAAGGAGGAGAGGAUUCACUCCUGUCCAUCACACCUGCAGUUCUGGAGAGUCAACUGGAGAGGUGCAGCAGAGGGUAGAGCUUAAGCGCCCUGCCCUGGGCUUUCUAAAGAGUUCUGAGGACCACAAUAGCAGGCAAUUUACCCACUCAGUGAUGAUGUGCUCUCAUGUCCUGGACAGCGACAGAGAACCCCAUGUCAGGUGUUUGCUUCCCUGAACACAUGGCCCCAGACCAUGAAAUGAUUGUAAUUUAACCUCUACCUCUCUCUGUAAAAACAAUUCUAGACAAGAAAGAAUAGGGAGAAAAAUUGCAAAAGACAUAUCAGGGAUGGCGCUAUUAUUUGAAAUACACAGACAAUUCUUAGAACAAACACCUCAAUAAAAAUUGGGGCAAUGUCCUUAGCAGACCCCUCACCCAAGGUGAUACACAGUCGACUCAUAAGCAAGUGAAGAGAUGGGCCACAUGUCACAUCAUCUGGAAAUACAAAGGACAUCCACAGUAGCCCCCACGGUAACCCCUCUGGGAUGCCUGACUCUAGAACAGUGACACUUCAUCACAACAUCAUCUGCCACUGAGAUGUGACUCCAGGGACUGCCUCACACAUCACUGUGGGAACGCAAAUUGGUGCCAUCACUUUGGACCACAGGGUGCUGGUUUCCUACAAGAUAAGCACAUUCCUGCAUGUCAUCCAGCAACUGGACUCCUUCGCAUUUCCCCCAAAGGGUUAAACAUCCACAUUACACCCGACCUCAGAGCUUAUGGGACUUUAUUCAUAAAUUAAGAAUUUGGGAGAGUCAGGUAUCCUCCAUGGGGUGGUGAAUAUAUAAAUAAACUGUUGCUCAUCCAGACAAUGGAUCAUUGCUCAACACUAAAUGAUCCUCACCACGAUAUUUGAGGGAGUCCCCGAUGUCACAUCAUCAUGACAGGUGACGAUGUGAGGAGGGGUCACUGUCCAUAGUCAGGCAUCCUAGGGGGUGACUGUGUGCUGCUGAUAAUUUAAUUUGUGAUUCCUGAUUAGACAAAAAAAAAAAAGGCACGGAAGAAAGUUAAUUUUAAGGGCAGAAAUCAGACUGAAAAAUGUGCAUGCAUGUGACUAUCUGAAGGACAUUCAGGGGAAGGGGACACAGUGGGGACAGUAAUGACCUCAAAAGCUAUGGAGGGAUUAAGAGGUGGAGCAUGAAGGAAUUUGAAACAGUGAAGCUGCUCUGUGGACACUGUCAUGGGGGCACAUGCCCUUGUCAACUGCAAACCCUUAGCUUGUGCAGGAGCCGGGGCAGGUCCCCUUCUAGUCUGUGGGAUCAGUGUCUUCAGCUGGAACAUCUGUACACCUGCUGGGGAGAUGAGGUCAGCUUGGGAGGAGGGUGUUAUGGGAAAAUAAUUAUGCUCAAUUUCUAGGAAACUUAAUCAUCUGUGUGUGUGUGUGUGUGUGUAUUUUAUUUUAAAAACUUCUUACUCAAACUACAGUGGCUCCCUACCACUGUAUGACCUCAUCAGGUCAUAGGCAGACAGCUCAGGUGUCAUCAGCUCUGUCUUUAUUGAAUCCACAGAGACAUUGUUUUCUCUGUGCUGCUGGACUAGGAGGGAAAGAGAGUUAGGGACAAAGAGCCACCUGCUCCUUCUACCAGACCCUUCAGUCCUUCGAAGUGAGACUCCAUCUGAGAUGUGCUCUCAGAAGAUAGAAGCAGCUGGAAAGUAGCUGGGCUGCCCAGCCUCACACAGCUGCUCCCUGGGUGGUUUUUGUUCAGGCUUGUGUCACUGUGGGAGGUUUACUAUUCCACUGAUGACAGAAGUAAGUGGCCACAUCUUCAGGCUCCACGCUGCUGAUGGUGAGAGUGAAAUCUGUCCCA